This 506-nucleotide ribosomal RNA is filed under the name uncultured bacterium. Its description in RNAcentral is "partial 16S ribosomal RNA". It matches the Rfam family "Bacterial small subunit ribosomal RNA", at positions 30 to 523 of the family's 1533-position model. The record is from RNAcentral.
AUUGAACGCUGGCGGCAGGCCUAACACAUGCAAGUCGAACGGUAGCACAGAGGAGCUUGCUCCUUGGGUGACGAGUGGCGGACGGGUGAGUAAUGUCUGGGAAACUGCCCGAUGGAGGGGGAUAACUACUGGAAACGGUAGCUAAUACCGCAUAACGUCUUCGGACCAAAGUGGGGGACCUUCGGGCCUCACACCAUCGGAUGUGCCCAGAUGGGAUUAGCUAGUAGGUGGGGUAAUGGCUCACCUAGGCGACGAUCCCUAGCUGGUCUGAGAGGAUGACCAGCCACACUGGAACUGAGACACGGGCCCGACUCCUACGGGAGGCAGCAGUGGGGAAUAUUGCACAAUGGGCGCAAGCCUGAUGCAGCCAUGCCGCGUGUAUGAAGAAGGCCUUCGGGUUGUAAAGUACUUUCAGCGGGGAGGAAGGCGUUAAGGUUAAUAACCUUGGCGAUUGACGUUACCCGCAGAAGAAGCACCGGCUAACUCCGUGCCAGCCGCCGCAGUAA